RNAcentral lists this small RNA (92 nucleotides) under Salmonella enterica. RNAcentral describes it as "sroE RNA". It matches the Rfam family "sroE RNA". Rfam says of the family: This family consists of a number of bacterial sroE RNA genes of around 90 bases in length. sroE is found in several Enterobacterial species but its function is unknown. Lineage: Bacteria; Pseudomonadati; Pseudomonadota; Gammaproteobacteria; Enterobacterales; Enterobacteriaceae. The record is from RNAcentral. RNAcentral also lists the same sequence under 38 other names.
AGAACGUGAUGGGAAGCGGCGCGCUUCCCGUGUAUGAUUGAACCCGCAUGGCUCCCGGUUCGUUCGGGGAAGCGCUGAGGGUUCAUUUUUAU